AUGCCCCUACUAUAGAGUUAUGCCAGUGGAUGAUGAUCAUGAUUUUAUUAUUAUUCACACAAAAACAUUUCAGAUGACAGAUGAAAAUAGGGUGGGACAGCUUUUUGUUUGUGAUUGAAUAAAACCAAACGUACAACAAGCUCUACGCAAUUGACAGAACAGCCCGUAGACUGGCCAUGAACGCCGAUCUCUGCUGACGCGACCAAUCAGAGGCGGUUGCCAGCAGACAACCAAUCAGCGUUUUGUCUGCCAACGUUGACUGGCGUGUGACAUCAUUGAUCAUGACUUGCAAUGUGGAGAGAGAAACGACGGAGAAAUCAUGUCGAAAAGUUAGUGGAAAUAUGGAGUUAAAGCAGCGUUUGAGUCGUCGUUUUGUCGGGUCCGUUUGCUAGCACUGUGAGGAAAUUGAUUAUUGAAGUCUGGAUGCUGAAAACAAGCCCCGGAGCUGUUUUUGUCGAACAAGAGUGAGGCUGAACGCCGAGCACACCUGCAGCGCCAAGGUCUACUUCUUGGGUUUCAACAGCCCAGACAGAAAUACCAGCUCUCACCUUACACACCGAAGAGGACUUAAACUUCAACUAGGAAACACUUCAGCUCAUGAAGGAGAGAGACAUGAAGAUUUACAGGUGCAUUCACAGACACAACUGGAUUCACUGAAGGAGAAGAGGAGGACAUCAGCAGCACAAAUGAAGGUCUGGACCUGAAGUGGAGGAAAGAGGAGAACAGAGUUGUGAAGCUGUUAAUGGAACAGAUAAACCUCCAGCAUCCCCUGUCUCCUGUUGUUCAAAUCAAGACACUUUGUUUUAGCUCCCCACCUGCUAAAUAACAACACUAUAAUGUAGUUAUGAGCACCUUUUCUGAGAGUAUUGUGUCUCUAUUAAGCAUCUUUAAGAACUGUUAACUGUUGAUGAUAAAAUUACUUCAUAUCAAACAGUUAAAUGCUCUUAAACAUGCUUAAUAGAGACAAUACUCUCAGAAAAGGUGCUCAUAACUACAUUGUAGUGUCAGGUGGGAGGAUAACAAAGUGUAUCCUAGUGGUCAAAUAUCUGUCAUUACCUCAACUGCUUUGUUAAAUGUCUGGAAUAAAAUCAUUCUAAGUUUCUUA
Molecule: long non-coding RNA, 1105 nt
Organism: Lates calcarifer (barramundi perch)
Lineage: Eukaryota; Metazoa; Chordata; Actinopteri; Centropomidae
Exons: 5
Source: RefSeq, a predicted model, not a curated record